UGGUUUCUCCGUCAAAGGGGAGAAAAUUCCAUCUUUCUCCGACGUCUCUCCGACUAAUACAAGUCGAUUCCGCAUGGUGAUCUCGUCAUCGAAUCAGAGGUAAGAAAAAAAGAUGAAGAACUGGAAAAGCAAGUGGUGGAUCUCAAGAGCAAAAUCCGAGUGGAUCAUCAUCAUCUUAAUCAGUUUCCAAGUCUCAACCAAAGUUAACAAAUACGGUUACAGAACAAAUAUCUGGUUACUUUGCCUGAAAGUAACUCUAAUGACUGCUUUGAACUGACAUCUGGUUACCUUGCCGGUUAUGAAUCAAACGGAUGACAUGCUUCUUUUUUCCUGG
Eutrema salsugineum is the source of this 334-nucleotide long non-coding RNA. RefSeq lists it as uncharacterized. Lineage: Eukaryota; Viridiplantae; Streptophyta; Magnoliopsida; Brassicales; Brassicaceae. The transcript is spliced from 3 exons. The record is from RefSeq and is a predicted model, not a curated record.